Molecule: ribosomal RNA, 320 nt
Filed under: uncultured bacterium
Lineage: Bacteria
Description: SSU rRNA
Rfam family: Bacterial small subunit ribosomal RNA
Source: RNAcentral
AAAACCAAAGCUGGGGAUCGUAAGACCUGGCGCAAGAAGUUGAGCCCGCGACCUAUCAGCCUGUUGGUGAGGUAACGGCUCACCAAAGCUUACGGGUAGCUGGUCUGAGAGGACGACCAGCCACACUGGGACUGAGACACGGCCCAGACACCUACGGGUGGCAGCAGUCGAGAAUUUUUCUCAAUGGGGGAAACCCUGAAGGACGCUGACGCCGCGUGGGGGAUGAAGGACUUCGGUUCGUAAACCCCUGUCACUUGGGAACAAAAGUUUUAACCUAACACGUUAAAGCCUGAUAGUACCAGGAGAGUAAGGCACGGCUU